GGGUGCGAACAUACCAGCACUAAUGCACCGGAUCCCAUCAAAACUUCGCAGUUAAAUGUGUUUGGAAGAUAUGUAGUAAGUUUAUACAUACCAACUCUGUGAGCAAAUUUUAGUAUGUAUCCA
Ribosomal RNA from Cephalotus follicularis, 123 nucleotides. Lineage: Eukaryota; Viridiplantae; Streptophyta; Magnoliopsida; Oxalidales; Cephalotaceae. The record is from Rfam.